This is a long non-coding RNA of Equus asinus (donkey), 1662 nucleotides long. NCBI's taxonomy places the organism in Eukaryota, Metazoa, Chordata, Mammalia, Perissodactyla, Equidae. The record is from Ensembl.
ACUGGUUGUAAACUGUGAAUUUCUAAUUGUAAAGUGAAUUGUCAUUUCUAAUUGAAAUUUUUUUUCAAGAACAGAUUUCAGCUUCAUAUACUAAGUAAAUACUGAUAAAUAAGGAACUUAGAAAUUAGUAUUUGUAAUUAAAUAUGAUCUAAAAUUUCUUAUAUUUUUAUUUCCUGUUUAUGCUUAGGUAGAUUGCUGGGGGAGGGAGUCUGUUCUCCCUAAUAAAAAUUUUUCUAAUAAACAUUGGUAGCAUAAGGACAUUCUGUAAGACAGUGACAUUAAAAAAGGCUCUUGUGGAGGUAUACAUUAUUAUACUAGUUACUCUAACAUCUUGUGUACAAGUCCUUUUGAAAUGGUGGCUUUAAUAGCUUUCAGCUCUUUUAUCCAGAGCUUGAGAUAAAGUUGAGUUUUUCAGGGCAUAUUACAAUGGCAAAGUGUUCAACAGUGAGGUGUCAAUGCUUACUCAGAUUUGUCUACUGCUAUUUAUAUAAAAAUUGUUUUCAUUUCAUUCAGAGGAUGCCUUUUACCCCCACGUUAAAGCACAGAUCAUUAAGCAAUAAAAACCAAUCAAAUUAUCAUCCAAAUUAUAACUGCGAUUAUUUUUGCAUGGUAAGAGUGAGGUGCUAAUUUUGUGUGAGAUGAGCUUUGUAAACUACCUUGGGAAAGGUCCUUUGGAAGUAAGGUUUUUCCCCUUUAGUCCUAUGCUUCCAGUUUUGUCUCAAAUUCACAAUCCAUUAAAACAUGGGAAAAAAGAAUAGAUUGAAUUAAUUGAGAGAGUUUUAUGAGAAGAGGUGUUGGAAUAAAUCUAGAAUAUUUGUUGGGAAAGGUCUCCCUUGUCUCCUCAUUUAGGAAAUACAUUAUUACCAGCUUAAUUUCACAAGCAUCACUACAGUGAGAGUUUCAUUAUAAAAGCAUACCAGUGAAAUGAAUAGCAAUGCUUAUCAAACAAUAUUGAAAUCUGUGAGAAUCUUUCUAGGAGCAUUCUUUUUUCUUUUAGUUCCAGGUUCCCAGGGUAUUUUUCAUUCAUAGUAAGUUUAUAUGACUGACACAGAAUGUGGAUUUUUCCCCCUUUGGAGUAUUUUUAUAAUGUAGGUGGAUAGCUAUGCCACAGCAUGCAUAAAUUGCACAUUUUGUUUGACUUUCUUUAUAAAAUAUUUAAUUUGAAAAAUAUAAUUUAUGCCAAAAAAGUUUUCAUAGAGAAUAGUUGAAAAGUGUUCCAUUACUGGUCUGUCAGAAACCCUAAAGCUGCAUUGUAAAAAAAUGGUGUAAAUUAGUUUUGAAAAGUGGUAAGGGAUUGUGAAAAAAAAUCUCAGACUUAAUGCUCCCUAACCACAUUAUUUUCUUCUUUUUUUAUUUAGUAAUACGCUGCUACAGAUUUGGAGGUUCUGGUGUUUGUAGGUCACUGAACAGACAUUGAAAUCUGAUUUAUAUUGUAUAACUGUAACAUAGAAAGAAAAAGUAUUUAUAUAUUUUCCGUAAGAAUAUUUCAUUGAGUUGUGUAUAAUUUAAAUAAGAUUUGUCCCCAAAUGGUUUUGCUCACCCUGAUUUUUGUGUGUGUGUGGUUUUCUUGUUUUUGUAUAAUGUGUACAGUUUAUGUCAAGGGCAUUAAAAAGCCUCCUGAAGUAUAAUCUUAUCAAAGGGAUACAUUGUUAAUAAAAUGUA